This 865-nucleotide unclassified non-coding RNA is filed under the name Zea mays. RNAcentral's name for it is "misc RNA Zm00001eb215140". Lineage: Eukaryota; Viridiplantae; Streptophyta; Magnoliopsida; Poales; Poaceae. The record is from RNAcentral.
CAGAAUUUUAUAUGCAAGUUUGAAAAACAGGAACAUAGCAACAGCAACUCUAAACCAAACCCAAUUUUUUUUUAGAGUUUUAGGGCAUGGCCAAACCGCCAAAGACCAAAACCCAAAGUUUUAUGCAAAGGGAAAAAUUUUCUGGCUAUGCAGUUUUCAAGUUUCAACAUUUUCUCUAGCACUACGUUUGGACAAGAGCAUUUGCAAGAGUGGUAUCCUACAGUGCAGAGAUAUUCAAGUUAUACAGCUGACAACAAUUACCACCUUACAACUCCAAGAGCCUACAGCUCCUAUAAAAAAGCAGUACAAUGCAGGGAUAAAGUGUCCAGGUCACGAAGAAUUUUACAAACCAAACAAUUUCAAGUGUCUAUACAAUGUACAUUUCACUAUUUCAGUAGAUGUAACAGCACUCAACAUAAGCAAUACUAUCAGAAGACAAAAUUUAUGUAACAUAAGUUCAAAGAUGGCAUUGUUCCAUGCAUUUAUUGAUGGGAAACAGAGUACUUGCUGUAUUUGACCAGUUGCCACUGGUAGUGGGCUAGUGGCAAAUGUAAGACAGGUGAGAGAGAGAGAAAGAUUAGAUGGGUCAUGCUAGUAGUGGCAAAAAGCUAAUACAUGCCCCAUAACUAGCAUUACAACAAGCUACUUACAUUCAAAUUUCAAACCAGGUUUGAGAAAUCUGCCAGAAGAGUUUUAAAAUGUGAUGAGUAGUAGCAGGCUGGUUGCGUCGGAACAGAUUAUGCAUACUCGCGAAACUAGAAUGCUGAUCAUGCCAUAUAGAUUGUUGCAGAACCAAAUUACAAAUCCAUUGCCCUAAGGAUCACAUUACAAAUUCACAAACCUUGUCAGACUCGAGCUCACGCUC